GACGAACGCUGGCGGCGUGCUUAACACAUGCAAGUCGAACGGAAAGGCCCCCUCCUUGGUGGGGGUGCCCGAUUGGCGAAUGGGUGAGUAACACGUGGGUGAUCUGCCCUGUACUUCGGGCUAAGCUUUGGCACCUGGGUCUAAUACCGGAUUGGCGCAUGGUUUAGUGUCUCAUGGUGGAAAAAUUAUUGUUUUUGUGCAGGAUGAGCUCGGGGCUUAUCAGCUUGUUGGUGGGGUCAUGGCCUAUCAAGGCGUCGACGGGUAGCCGGGCUGCGAGGGUGGGCGGCCACAUGGGGAGUGGGAGACAGCCCAGACGCCUACGGGAGGCAGCAGUGGGGAAUAUUGCACAAUGGGCGCAAGCCUGAGGCAGCGACGCCGCGUGGGGGAGGACGGCCGUCGGGGUGUAAACUCCUUUCGUGAGGGACGAAGCCACACCUUUUUGGAGGGUGGUGACGGUAACUUUGUGAAGAAGCACCGGCUAACUACGUG
RNAcentral lists this ribosomal RNA (489 nucleotides) under uncultured bacterium. RNAcentral's name for it is "partial 16S ribosomal RNA". It matches the Rfam family "Bacterial small subunit ribosomal RNA", at positions 28 to 507 of the family's 1533-position model. The record is from RNAcentral.